Molecule: ribosomal RNA, 292 nt
Filed under: Solanum tuberosum (potato)
Lineage: Eukaryota; Viridiplantae; Streptophyta; Magnoliopsida; Solanales; Solanaceae
Description: rRNA SSU_rRNA_eukarya
Rfam family: Eukaryotic small subunit ribosomal RNA
Source: Rfam by way of RNAcentral
AAGUUGUUGUAAUUAAAAAGCUCGUAGUUGGACUUUGGGAUGGGCCAGUCGGUCCGUCCUAGGUGUGCACCGGUCAUCUCGUCCCUUCUGUCGGUGAUGCGCUCCUGGCCUUAAUUGGCUAGGUUGUGCCUCUGGCACUUUUACUUUGAACAAAUUAGAGUGCUCAAAGCAGCCUACACUCUGUAUACAUUAGCAUUGGAUAAAAUUAUAGGAUUUCGUUCUUAUUACAUUCGCGACAAGUGGUGGUUGAAACUCACUCUCUCUUUUUGUCACGGCUACAACCUGUCGUGUG